GCUAUCAAUAAGCGGAGGAAAAGAAAAUAACAAUGAUUUCCCUAGUAACGGCGAGUGAAGAGGAAAGAGCUCAAAGUUGGAAACUGUUUGGCUUAGCUAAACCGUAUUGUAAACUGUAGAAACAUUUUCCUGGCACGCCGGAUUAAUAAGUCCUUUGGAACAAGGCAUCAUGGAGGGUGAGAAUCCCGUCUUUGAUCCGAGUAGUUGUCUUUUGUGAUAUGUUUUCAAAGAGUCAGGUUGUUUGGGAAUGCAGCCUAAAUUGGGUGGUAAAUCUCACCUAAAGCUAAAUAUUUGCGAGAGACCGAUAGCGAACAAGUACCGUGAGGGAAAGAUGAAAAGAACUUUGAAAAGAGAGUUAAACAGUAUGUGAAAUUGUUAAAAGGGAACCGUUUGGAGCCAGACUGGUUUGACUGUAAUCAACCUAGAAUUCGUUCUGGGUGCACUUGCAGUCUAUACCUGCCAACAACAGUUUGAUUUGGAGGAAAAAAUUAGUAGGAAUGUAGCCUCUCGAGGUGUUAUAGCCUACUAUCAUACUCUGGAUUGGACUGAGGAACGCAGCGAAUGCCAUUAGGCGAGAUUGCUGGGUGCUUUCGCUAAUAAAUGUUAGAAUUUCUGCUUCGGGUGGUGCUAAUGUUUAAAGGAGGAACACAUCUAGUAUAUUUUUUAUUCGCUUAGGUUGUUGGCUUAAUGACUCUAAAUGACCCGUCUUGAAACACGGACCAAGGAGUCCACCAUAAGUGCAAGUAUUUGAGUGACAAACUCAUAUGCGUAAGGAAACUGAUUGAUACGAAAUCUUUUGAUGGCAGUAUCACCCGGCGUUGACGUUUUAUACUGAACUGACCGAGGUAAAGCACUUAUGAUGGGACCCGAAAGAUGGUGAACUAUGCCUGAAUAGGGUGAAGCCAGAGGAAACUCUGGUGGAGGCUCGUAGCGAUUCUGACGUGCAAAUCGAUCGUCAAAUUUGGGUAUAGGGGCGAAAGACUAAUCGAACCAUCUAGUAGCUGGUCUGC
Molecule: ribosomal RNA, 1010 nt
Filed under: Mucor circinelloides
Lineage: Eukaryota; Fungi; Mucoromycota; Mucoromycetes; Mucorales; Mucoraceae
Description: partial large subunit ribosomal RNA
Rfam family: Eukaryotic large subunit ribosomal RNA
Source: RNAcentral